UUACUGCCACAACGGCUUCCUGGCGUGGCAGGCUGAACCCCCAACGGAGCA
Ruegeria sp. R11 is the source of this 51-nucleotide non-coding RNA. Lineage: Bacteria; Pseudomonadati; Pseudomonadota; Alphaproteobacteria; Rhodobacterales; Roseobacteraceae. The record is from Rfam.